Molecule: small nuclear RNA, 23 nt
Filed under: Arabidopsis thaliana (thale cress)
Lineage: Eukaryota; Viridiplantae; Streptophyta; Magnoliopsida; Brassicales; Brassicaceae
Description: snRNA_00598
Source: RNAcentral
AGUGACUCUUGGCAAGAAUAUCC